RNAcentral lists this ribosomal RNA (451 nucleotides) under uncultured bacterium. RNAcentral describes it as "partial 16S ribosomal RNA". It matches the Rfam family "Bacterial small subunit ribosomal RNA", at positions 354 to 796 of the family's 1533-position model. The record is from RNAcentral.
GUGGGGAAUAUUGCGCAAUGGGGGAAACCCUGACGCAGCGACGCCGCGUGAGCGAAGAAGGCCUUAGGGUUGUAAAGCUCUGUUUUAAGGGACGAAUGUCGUGGGGAGUAAUAUGCUCUGCGAAUGACGGUACCUUAAGAGGAAGCCCCGGCUAACUACGUGCCAGCAGCCGCGGUAAGACGUAGGGGGCGAGCGUUGUCCGGAAUUACUGGGCGUAAAGAGCACGUAGGCGGGAACUUAAGUCAGGUGUGAAAGACCGGGGAACAACUCCGGGGUUGCACUUGAAACUGGGUUUCUUGAGGGCAGGAGAGGAAAGCAGAAUUCCUGGUGUAGCGGUGAAAUGCGUAGAAAUCAGGAGGAAUACCAGUGGCGAAGGCGGCUUACUGGACUGUAACUGACGCUGAGGCGCGAAAGUGUGGGGAGCAAACAGGAUUAGAAACCCUAGUAGUCC